This 674-nucleotide ribosomal RNA is filed under the name Hapalosiphon sp. IBSDCY9. Its description in RNAcentral is "bacterial SSU rRNA". It matches the Rfam family "Bacterial small subunit ribosomal RNA", at positions 94 to 800 of the family's 1533-position model. The record is from RNAcentral. Lineage: Bacteria; Bacillati; Cyanobacteriota; Cyanophyceae; Nostocales; Hapalosiphonaceae.
UGACUCCGACGGGUGAGUAACGCGUGAGAAUCAGGCUCUAGGUUCGGGACAACCACUGGAAACGGUGGCUAAUACCGGGUAUGCCGAGAGGUGAAAGGUUAACUGCCUGGAGAUGAGCUCGCGUCUGAUUAGCUAGUUGGUGGUGUAAGGGACUACCAAGGCGACGAUCAGUAGCUGGUCUGAGAGGAUGAUCAGCCACACUGGAACUGAGACACGGUCCAGACUCCUACGGGAGGCAGCAGUGGGGAAUUUUCCGCAAUGGGCGAAAGCCUGACGGAGCAAUACCGCGUGAGGGAGGAAGGCUCUUGGGUUGUAAACCUCUUUUCUCAGGGAAUAAGCAAGUGAAGGUACCUGAGGAAUCAGCAUCGGCUAACUCCGUGCCAGCAGCCGCGGUAAUACGGAGGAUGCAAGCGUUAUCCGGAAUGAUUGGGCGUAAAGCGUCCGUAGGUGGCUGUGUGUGUCUAUUGUUAAAGAGUUUGGCUCAACCAAAUAAGGGCGGUAGAAACUACACAGCUAGAGUGCGUUCGGGGCAGAGGGAAUUCCUGGUGUAGCGGUGAAAUGCGUAGAGAUCAGGAAGAACACCGGUGGCGAAAGCGCUCUGCUAGGCCGCAACUGACACUGAGGGACGAAAGCUAGGGGAGCGAAUGGGAUUAGAUACCCCCAGUAGUCAAUGA